UACGGGGGGGGCAAGCGUUGUUCGGAAUUACCGGGCGUAAAGGGCUCGUAGGCGGCCAACUAAGUCAUACGUGAAAUCCCUCGGCUUAACCGGGGAACUGCGUCUGAUACUGGAUGGCUUGAGUUCGGGAGAGGGAUGCGGAAUUCCAGGUGUAGCGGUGAAAUGCGUAGAUAUCUGGAGGAACACCGGUGGCGAAGGCGGCAUCCUGGACCGAUACUGACGCUGAGGAGCGAAAGCCAGGGGAGCAAACGGG
Molecule: ribosomal RNA, 253 nt
Filed under: uncultured bacterium
Lineage: Bacteria
Description: partial 16S ribosomal RNA
Rfam family: Bacterial small subunit ribosomal RNA
Source: RNAcentral